RNAcentral lists this long non-coding RNA (1012 nucleotides) under Chrysemys picta bellii (western painted turtle). Its description in RNAcentral is "lncRNA (ENSCPBG00000003312.1)". Lineage: Eukaryota; Metazoa; Chordata; Testudines; Emydidae. The record is from RNAcentral.
CUCAUUAGGAAAUCCCUCACUCUUGCUACAAUUACCCUUUAGUAAUUAGUUUCUUGUCAGUUCUUUGUUAGUGUAGAUAAUUACCCCGUUUAUCUGUUUAAAAAAAAAAUUACUGUCAGCCGCGGCCGCUUUGGCCAUGCCGGGCUCCACAGGCUUCAAGCGCUGUGCUACAUGCAAAGAAGCUAUCCCACUAUCCGAUGGCCACUCAAAGUGUAUAAAAUGUUUGGGGGAAGCCCACAUUCCCCAAAAAUGUGCCCAUUGCUGUAAACUCAGCUCCAGGGCACGGAAGGACAGGGAGCUUAAACUUAAACUGCUCCUCCUCCAAAAGUCUAUCGGGUCAGUUUCAGACCCAGGCGCUGAAGCUGGCUCCGCUGCCCGCCACAGCCCCCCCGCCUCAAAAAAACUGAAAAAAUCUACAAAGAAGGGGCAGCCUUCUUCACCAAGCAAGGUUAUGAGGCACAAAGUUUCUCCAGGCAGAUCAACGGUCUCCCUACCUGUGUUUCCCCGCCUCAGCAACUUUGAGCCGGGCUCUUCAGGAACCGCGCAAAAGCCCCCUGAGGCUGCGGCGGCGGCGCGAGGCUCCGGUGCCGAGGCAUCAGGCUUCCAGUUGCCUGCCUCUAUCACGGCACCGUUCGGCACCGCGACGGAUGCGGUGCCGACAUUUUACAACAUGCCUGAUCCCAUGCAGGCUGAUAUUGCCCGCCCGGCACCGACCGCGGCACCGACCCCCGUGGUGCAGUCUGACAGGGAGGUCACAGGCAAAACCCCUGCUCAGAGGAAUGCUCCCGCACGGCAGCCUCCCCCUGCUCAGUUUUCACCUCACACAGGAGCCUCACUACUUCACUUUACUCAGACAGCAGAUCUCCUGGUAUCACCUAUCCUGCAGUCUUCCCUGAUGAAUGCAUAUUCUUCUCCAAUGCCUGAGUCAGGAUCUGAGCAGCUUUCCUCCAGUGAGGAGGAAACAGAUCCACAGGGAAUUUUUUCUCCAUAUCAAGACUCCCAACCCCAGACC